UUAUCAGAUUCUACCACCUCUGUGAACCGUUGACCUCCGGGUUAAUAAUCAAACAUCAGUGUAACGAACGUAAGAGUAUCUUAACGAAACAAAACUUUCAACAACGGAUCUCUUGGCUCUCGCAUCGAUGAAGAACGCAGCGAAAUGCGAUAAGUAAUGUGAAUUGCAGAAUUCAGUGAAUCAUCGAAUCUUUGAACGCACCUUGCGCCUUUUGGUAUUCCGAAAGGCAUGCCUGUUUCAGUGUCAUGAAAUCUCAAUCUAAUAUGUUUUCUGAACAUGUUAGGCUUGGACUUGGGCGUCUGCCAGUGAUGGCUCGCCUCAAAUGACUUAGUGGAACAUCCCACAUCAGUGUUAGACGUAAUAAGUUUCGUCUCUCCUUGUGGUGAUGACUGCUCAGAACCUGCCAUCGCGCAUCUUUUGACUUUGACCUGAAAUCAGGUAGGGCUACCCGCUGAACUUAAGCAUAUCAAUAAG
This 474-nucleotide unclassified non-coding RNA is filed under the name Cryptococcus sp. DMKU-Y32-A. RNAcentral describes it as "partial contains ITS1, 5.8S rRNA and ITS2". The stretch from base 93 to 246 matches the Rfam family "5.8S ribosomal RNA". The record is from RNAcentral. Lineage: Eukaryota; Fungi; Basidiomycota; Tremellomycetes; Tremellales; Cryptococcaceae.